Molecule: long non-coding RNA, 264 nt
Filed under: Capra hircus (goat)
Lineage: Eukaryota; Metazoa; Chordata; Mammalia; Artiodactyla; Bovidae
Description: lncRNA (ENSCHIG00000006965.1)
Source: RNAcentral
AUAAAAAUGGCGACCACCUGACCAACCUCCACAGGCUGGCUGGUCCCCAGGCCCGACUGGAACAGAAGGGAACUAGUAAGAGAAUGGCCAAAGGGCAAAUAAUCACUGCCUGAUUGGAGGCUGGCUGACUGUUGACCAAGCAAGUGCGGGAUCAUCUCUAACUGGACUCACCAGUUACUGUGGGCAAUAGUGGUGCUUCUCUUGGAAUCUUCUAAUGGAGCAAGUUCCUCUAUCUUUGCUUCACUGUCAAUUCAAAAAUUUGGG